GGUAGAUUUGCCUUACAUCCAUUUUUUCUCUAUUUGUCACGAUUUUCUUCGCCAGGUGGCCUCCCUCCGUUUCGUCGUUGCAAAGUAUCGGCUGGUGACCUCUGACCCUGACGUGGUUCUGCAGCUGACGCAUCUGCUGGACUUGGUGGAUAAUUUCCCGAAGUUUAGUGUUGGUGGCUUCUUCGUCGCCGCCAAAGCCAGGCUCGUUGAUAUUGCCAGUUUCAGCGCCACCUACCUUGUGAUAUUACUGCAGUUCAAGGGCGCAGAGAAGUAGUGUAAAAAAGGCUGCUGAAGUAAUAGAAGUAGAAUAUGGAACAAUUAUGGAUUGCUGUAG
This is a non-coding RNA of Penaeus vannamei (Pacific white shrimp), 334 nucleotides long. NCBI's taxonomy places the organism in Eukaryota, Metazoa, Arthropoda, Malacostraca, Decapoda, Penaeidae. The record is from RefSeq and is a predicted model, not a curated record.